Long non-coding RNA from Argiope bruennichi, 684 nucleotides. RefSeq lists it as uncharacterized. The record is from RefSeq and is a predicted model, not a curated record. NCBI's taxonomy places the organism in Eukaryota, Metazoa, Arthropoda, Arachnida, Araneae, Araneidae. The transcript is spliced from 3 exons.
AAUGAGCUAAAAAAAUAAUAAGUAAAUUUAUACAAAUGUAUACGGUACAAAGCGAUGAAUAAAAAAAAAGAAAAGAAAUAUGUAACCAACAUUUGUGGUCAAACAUAUUCAUUUCAGGAUAGUGAAUUGAACUGAAAAAUAAAAUACUACUUGUACACAAUUACAAUUUCAAAUUAUUUUUAUAUCUUGCAGUUAUGACAGUUAUAAAUUUUAUCUUAGUAAUUAAUAUCUCAGUGAUAUUAAGAUUGGGUUUGCUUAAUAUUUCUUUCAAAACAGAGUACGUUCGCCAAAAUUGUGGCAAUCGUUUGCCAUUAAGGUUGGGGAUUUAAAGAUGAGUUCUUCAAUAUUGGACUGAGUUUUGAUUAACAUAGCGAAGAACCUAUCGUUUUCGUUAUCGAAUUACAGAAUUGUUUGAUUUCAUAAUGCCAUAUGAGCGUAUAAAAAGUUAUGAAAGGGACUUGGUUGAAAUGCAAACUAAUCUUAAGACAUGAAUGAGGUAUAAAAAGUUAUGAAAGUGACUUGGUUGAAAUGCAAAGAGGGAGCUAAACUAAUCUUAAGACAUUAAUCAGGUAUGUAUAUUUUUGUUGGUGUUUCAUAUUUUCCAUUUUUUUUUUAUUUAAUUAGCACUUUCUGUUCAUUUUUAAAUGUGUUCUAAUGUAAGGGACCAGAAAAAAGUUACAUGAA